UACGUAGGGGGCUAGCGUUGUCCGGAAUCAUUGGGCGUAAAGCGCGCGUAGGCGGCCAGAUAAGUCCGGGUGUGAAAGUCAAAGGCUCAACCUUUGAAUGCCGCUGGAAACUGUCUGGCUUGAGUCCGGGAGGGGCGAGUGGAAUUCCUGGUGUAGCGGUGAAAUGCGCAGAUAUCAGGAGGAACACCAAUAGCGAAGGCAGCUCGCUGGGACGACUGACACUGAGGCGCGAAA
This 234-nucleotide ribosomal RNA is filed under the name uncultured bacterium. RNAcentral's name for it is "partial 16S ribosomal RNA". It matches the Rfam family "Bacterial small subunit ribosomal RNA", at positions 524 to 758 of the family's 1533-position model. The record is from RNAcentral.